GAACCAAGGACUAGAGCUCUUGCCCCGCCAACGACAGAUGAACUACCGAAACCAAGGACUAUAGCUCCUGUACCGCCAACGACGGAGGCACCACCGA
Non-coding RNA from Dermacentor andersoni, 97 nucleotides. The record is from RefSeq and is a predicted model, not a curated record. Lineage: Eukaryota; Metazoa; Arthropoda; Arachnida; Ixodida; Ixodidae.